RNAcentral lists this ribosomal RNA (252 nucleotides) under uncultured bacterium. RNAcentral's name for it is "partial 16S ribosomal RNA". It matches the Rfam family "Bacterial small subunit ribosomal RNA", at positions 525 to 776 of the family's 1533-position model. The record is from RNAcentral.
ACGUAGGUGGCAAGCGUUGUCCGGAUUUAUUUGGCGUAAAGCUAACGCAGGCGGGAGAAUAAGUCAGCUGUGAAAGCCCCCAGCUUAACUGGGGAAGUGCAACUGAAACUAUUUUUCUUGAGUGCAGAAGAGGAUAGUGGAACUCCAUGUGUAGCGGUGGAAUGCGUAGAUAUAUGGAAGAACACCAGUGGCGAAGGCGGCUCUCUGGUCUGUAACUGACGCUGAGGUUCGAAAGCAUGGGUAGCGAACAGG